AGAGUUUGAUCCUGGCUCAGAACGAACGCUGGCGGCAGGCCUAACACAUGCAAGUCGAGCGCUCUCUUCGGAGGGAGCGGCGGACGGGUGAGUAACGCGUGGGAACGUGCCCUUCUCUAUGGAAUAGCCACUGGAAACGGUGAGUAAUACCAUAUACGCCCUUCGGGGGAAAGAUUUAUCGGAGAAGGAUCGGCCCGCGUUAGAUUAGGUAGUUGGUGGGGUAAUGGCCUACCAAGCCUACGAUCUAUAGCUGGUUUUAGAGGAUGAUCAGCCACACUGGGACUGAGACACGGCCCAGACUCCUACGGGAGGCAGCAGUGGGGAAUCUUAGACAAUGGGCGCAAGCCUGAUCUAGCCAUGCCGCGUGAGUGAUGAAGGCCUUAGGGUCGUAAAGCUCUUUCGCCAGAGAUGAUAAUGACAGUAUCUGGUAAAGAAACCCCGGCUAACUCCGUGCCAGCAGCCGCGGUAAUACGGAGGGGGUUAGCGUUGUUCGGAAUUACUGGGCGUAAAGCGCACGUAGGCGGAUUAGAAAGUUAGGGGUGAAAUCCCGGGGCUCAACCUCGGAACUGCCUCUAAAACUCCUAGUCUAGAGUUCGAGAGAGGUGAGUGGAAUUCCAAGUGUAGAGGUGAAAUUCGUAGAUAUUUGGAGGAACACCAGUGGCGAAAGCGGCUCACUGGCUCGAUACUGACGCUGAGGUGCGAAAGUGUGGGGAGCAAACAGGAUUAGAUACCCUGGUAGUCCACACCGUAAACGAUGAAUGCCAGUCGUCGGGUAGUAUACUGCUCGGUGACACACCUAACGGAUUAAGCAUUCCGCCUGGGGAGUACGGUCGCAGAUUAAAACUCAAAGGAAUUGACGG
RNAcentral lists this ribosomal RNA (860 nucleotides) under uncultured marine bacterium. Its description in RNAcentral is "bacterial SSU rRNA". It matches the Rfam family "Bacterial small subunit ribosomal RNA", at positions 8 to 916 of the family's 1533-position model. The record is from RNAcentral.